GUCAGUUCGUUAGGUAUUUGUGUUUGAACUUAACACACGGGGAAACUACGCAUUGACGUCACUACGCUACUUCCGGCGUAGAAAAACAGUGCAGAAUAUGUUUUUUCUGCACUUUUGAAUAAAAAAACAUUUUUAAAGGUAAGUUUUCAUUGUUGUUCUCAAUUAUUGCUAAAAAAUGCCAAUUUUAUAAAGCCCGUUUCAAUCCCGACUUCCGAAUGUCUAAAACCAUUCUAGAA
RNAcentral lists this long non-coding RNA (236 nucleotides) under Mytilus galloprovincialis (Mediterranean mussel). Lineage: Eukaryota; Metazoa; Mollusca; Bivalvia; Mytilida; Mytilidae. The record is from RNAcentral.